UCGCAUCACAUUGUCACCCAUAUAUAUCAUGAUCUGUAGCUUAUUUUAUCGGUCAUUUGCUUUCUUCUCCGUCCUUUUCCUCUAGUGGAAUAUCUGUCCUCUUUAAUCAUUCAUUCAUUUGGUUUUUCUUCUUUUGUAUAUAUUUGCAGCUGUCUUCUCAAAACUCAGAGCAUGAUGAAAUAGACUUUGAGUUCUUGGGGAACAGGUCCGGCCAACCCUACAUUUUACAGACAAAUGUCUUCACGGGAGGAAAAGGAGACAGAGAGCAGAGAAUCUAUCUUUGGUUUGACCCAACCAAAGCUUUUCACUCAUACUCAGUUCUAUGGAAUACGUUUCUGAUAAUGUAUGUUCCUUUUCCCUCUUUUACUUCGUUGGAACUCAUUAAUUUCAGACACAGCCCAAUCAAACCCCUUCCAUCAGUUAUCUAGAUCUUUAGAGAAGGAAACUACAUUCGAGUAUCAAAAUAUUUAAGCUAAUAAAAAUGAUUUAGCAUCAGUAUAAAUAGUGGGUUGCUAAAUUUGUUCCCGUCCAGGAUUAGCAAACACUAGAAACAAAACCCAAGCCGGUUUCUUCCUCAAAAAUGUUUUCCCUCUUAUUUCCCACAACAGUAAAAUGUUCUCAAUGCUUUUCAUCAUUAGAAUCUUGGACAAAAGAAGUGGGUUGGUGAAUUGAUGUUGGAGCUCUCAUCAAAACUACUUUUUGGGGUCCUUCGUCUUUACAUCCACGUUCUUUCAACAUCCAAAAUCUUUUAGGCAAACACAAUCCCGUGAAUCUGUCUCUCAAGUCUCCACCUGGGUAUGUUCAAUAAAUGUGCUUCUAACACAAUCCCUUUUGGGCCGGGACCAGCUAUUUUGAGAGAACCUCUGCUUCUCUUUACUUUUUCAGACUAUUGGCCAUGCUGGUUGUCUCCAGCAUGAAACCUAAAUAAGUAGGAAAAUGAAAAUCGAGUAAAUCAAUCAGCUAUUGUUUAUUGAAAUAAGCUUUUGAGCUGUCCCCCUGCUUUUUUUGCUUUCGUAUUCAACUUCUGGACAAAAAAAUUCAAACUAAAAUUAUUGCAGAGUUCACUUUAUAUUUUAUAUGAUGCGGUUUUGUUGUUUUGUAAAUAUAAAAUUUGGCGUAUGCGUGUGGGGUCUGAUGUGUGUUGAAAAUCAGAUUCUUGGUGGACGAUGUCCCAAUAAGAGUGUUCAAGAACAGCAAAGAUUUGGGAGUUAAGUUUCCAUUCGACCAACCCAUGAAGAUAUACUCAAGCCUGUGGAAUGCGGAUGACUGGGCCACAAGGGGUGGGCUGGAGAAGACCGACUGGUCCAAGGCUCCAUUUGUGGCUUCGUACAAGAGUUUCCACGUGGAUGGGUGUGAGGCUUCAGUGGAAGCCAAAUUUUGUGCGACCCAGGGCAAGAGAUGGUGGGACCAAAGGGAAUUUCAAGAUCUCGACUCCCUUCAGUACAGGAGACUCGCCUGGGUCCGCCAGAAAUACACCAUCUACAACUACUGCACUGACCGAGUUAGAUACCCCACCAUGCCACCUGAAUGCAAGAGAGACAGAGACGUUUAGACCCUUCUACUAAUACUAAUACUAAUACCACUGCUACUACUAUUAUCUCUCUCGCUUAUUGCUUUGUUCCAUUCAUAGUUCUUUGGGAUUUGCCUCUUAUUACUAUGCUCUCAUCUUCAU
This 1672-nucleotide long non-coding RNA is filed under the name Vitis vinifera (wine grape). Its description in RNAcentral is "long non-coding RNA (VVIN_LNC000321)". The record is from RNAcentral. Lineage: Eukaryota; Viridiplantae; Streptophyta; Magnoliopsida; Vitales; Vitaceae.